GCUUAGGGAGGAGCUUGCGUCACAUUAGUUAGUUGGUGGGGUAAAGGCCUACCAAGACUAUGAUGUGUAGCCGGGCUGAGAGGUUGAACGGCCACAUUGGGACUGAGACACGGCCCAAACUCCUACGGGAGGCAGCAGUAGGGAAUUUUCGGCAAUGGAGGAAACUCUGACCGAGCAACGCCGCGUGAACGAUGAAGUAUUUCGGUACGUAAAGUUCUUUUAUUAGGGAAGAAUAAAUGAUGGAAAAAUCAUUCUGACGGUACCUAAUGAAUAAGCCCCGGCUAACUAUGUGCCAGCAGCCGCGGUAAUACAUAGGGGGCAAGCGUUAUCCGGAAUUAUUGGGCGUAAAGGGUGCGUAGGCGGUUAAAUAAGUUUAUGGUCUAAGUGCAAUGCUCAACAUUGUGAUGCUAUAAAAACUGUUUAGCUAGAGUAAGAUAGAGGCAAGUGGAAUUCCAUGUGUAGUGGUAAAAUGCGUAAAUAUAUGGAGGAACACCAGUAGCGAAGGCGGCUUGCUGGGUCUUUACUGACGCUGAGGCACGAAAGCGUGGGGAGCAAACAGGAUUAGAUACCCUGGUAGUCCACGCCGUAAACGAUGAGUACUAAACGUUGGGUAAAACCAGUGUUGAAGUUAACACAUUAAGUACUCCGCCUGAGUAGUACGUACGCAAGUAUGAAACUUAAAGGAAUUGACGGGACUCCGCACAAGCGGUGGAUCAUGUUGUUUAAUUCGAAGGUACCCGAAAAACCUCACCAGGUCUUGACAUGCUUCUGCAAAACUGUAGAAACACAGUGGAGGUUAUCAGUUGCACAGGUGGUGCAUGGUUGUCGUCAGCUCGUGUCGUGAGAUGUUGGGUUAAGUCCCGCAACGAGCGCAACCCUUAUUGNUAGUUACCAGCACGUAAUGGUGGGGACUUUAGCAAGACUGCCAGUGA
RNAcentral lists this ribosomal RNA (932 nucleotides) under Candidatus Phytoplasma asteris-related phytoplasma. RNAcentral describes it as "bacterial SSU rRNA". It matches the Rfam family "Bacterial small subunit ribosomal RNA", at positions 217 to 1158 of the family's 1533-position model. The record is from RNAcentral. Lineage: Bacteria; Bacillati; Mycoplasmatota; Mollicutes; Acholeplasmatales; Acholeplasmataceae.